GCCCGGGUGGUGGAAUUGGUAGACACGCAGGACUUAAAAUCCUGUGGCCCUUAAAGCCGUACGGGUUCGAUUCCCGUCCCGGGU
RNAcentral lists this transfer RNA (84 nucleotides) under Bacteroidia bacterium. RNAcentral describes it as "tRNA-Leu". It matches the Rfam family "tRNA". Rfam says of the family: Transfer RNA (tRNA) molecules are approximately 80 nucleotides in length. Lineage: Bacteria; Pseudomonadati; Bacteroidota; Bacteroidia. The record is from RNAcentral.